GACGAACGCUGGCGGCGUGCUUAACACAUGCAAGUCGAACGGAAAGGCCCUGCUUUUGUGGGGUGCUCGAGUGGCGAACGGGUGAGUAACACGUGAGUAACCUGCCCUUGACUUUGGGAUAACUUCAGGAAACUGGGGCUAAUACCGGAUAGGAGCUCCUGCUGCAUGGUGGGGGUUGGAAAGUUUCGGCGGUUGGGGAUGGACUCGCGGCUUAUCAGCUUGUUGGUGUGGUAGUGGCUUACCAAGGCUUUGACGGGUAGCCUGCCUGAGAGGGUGAACGGCCACAUUGGGACUGAGAGACGGACCAGACUCCUACGGGAGGCAGCAGUGGGGAAUAUUGCACAAUGGGCGGAAGCCUGAUGCAGCAACGCCGCGUGCGGGAUGACGGCUUUCGGGUUGUAAACCGCUUUCGACUGUGACGAAGCGUGAGUGACGGUAAUGGGUAAAGAAGCACCGGCUAACUACGUG
Molecule: ribosomal RNA, 468 nt
Filed under: uncultured bacterium
Lineage: Bacteria
Description: partial 16S ribosomal RNA
Rfam family: Bacterial small subunit ribosomal RNA
Source: RNAcentral